Molecule: ribosomal RNA, 1251 nt
Filed under: uncultured bacterium
Lineage: Bacteria
Description: bacterial SSU rRNA
Rfam family: Bacterial small subunit ribosomal RNA
Source: RNAcentral
AGAGUUUGAUCCUGGCUCAGGACGAACGUUGGCGGCGUGCUUAACACAUGCAAGUCGAGCGAGGCAUAGUGAAAAGUUUACUUUUUACUAAGUUUAGCGGCGGAGUAACGCGUGGAUAAUCUGCCUGUAAGACAGGGAUAACGCCGGGAAACCGGUGCUAAUACCGGAUAAACUCUUUGGACCGCAUGGUUUAAAGAGAAAAGGUGGCCUCUUUACAAUGCUACCACUUACAGAUGAAUCCGCGUCCCAUUAGCCAGUUGGUGGGGUAAUGGCCUACCAAAGCGACGAUGGGUAGCCGGCCUGAGAGGGUGACCGGCCACACUGGAACUGAGAUACGGUCCAGACUCCUACGGGAGGCAGCAGUGGGGAAUCUUCCGCAAUGGGCGAAAGCCUGACGGAGCAACGCCGCGUGAGUGAAGAAGGUCUUCGGAUCGUAAAACUCUGUCCUUGGUGAAGAAAAAAUGACGGUAGCCAAGGAGGAAGCCCCGGCUAACUACGUGCCAGCAGCCGCGGUAAUACGUAGGGGGCGAGCGUUGUCCGGAAUUACUGGGCGUAAAGGGUGCGUAGGUGGCCUUUUAAGUUGGAUGUGAAAUACCCGGGCUUACCUGGGGGGUGCAUCCAAUACUGGGAGGCUAGAGUGCAGGAGAGGAAAGCGGAAUUCCUAGUGUAGCGGUGAAAUGCGUAGAUAUUAGGAGGAACACCAGUGGCGAAGGCGGCUUUCUGGACUGUAACUGACACUGAGGCACGAAAGCGUGGGGAGCAAACAGGAUUAGAUACCCUGGUAGUCCACGCCGUAAACGAUGAGUACUAGGUGUCGGGAUCGCGAGGUCUCGGUGCCGCAGCUAACACAAUAAGCACUCCGCCUGGGGAGUACGGUCGCAAGACUGAAACUCAAAGGAAUUGACGGGGACCCGCACAAGCAGCGGAGCAUGUGGUUUAAUUCGAAGCAACGCGAAGAACCUUACCAAGGCUUGAAAUGCAUCAGAUGCAGAGAUGUGUCCUCCCCUUCGGGGGCAAGGGAGACAGGUGGUGCAUGGUUGUCGUCAGCUCGUGUCGUGAGAUGUUGGGUUAAGUCCCGCAACGAGCGCAACCCUUAUCAUUAGUUGCCAGCGUAAAGGUGGGAACUCUGGUGAGACCGCCGGGGACAACUCGGAGGAAGGUGGGGACGACGUCAAAUCAUCAUGCCCCUUAUGUCUUGGGCUACACACGUGCUACAAUGGCCGGUACAAAGGGCUGCGAAACCGCGAGGUG